CCAGCUCCCGCUCGUCCCUAGGUCUGGCGUUUGCUGUUAGCCAGGCCGUAGCAUGGAUGGGGUGGGAAACCCCCCAGGCUGCCACGUGCUCUUCCGCGAGCAGCGGCUUGUCCCGUUAAUGCAUCAUCAGCCGGCGCGGCCUUGGGAGGGCUGUGUGAGCCUGACCCAGACAAGCAGUUCUUGCAUAGGCCUCCUCCUUUUAAUUAGUUGUAAUCUCACUUCAGGUGGACGGGUGUUAGGUUUGUACCCAGGCUGCAUUCGUUAGUGGCGAUGCCCCGUCACCCGCUGGUUUAUGGCCGUGCGUGUGCCGCCCCCGCAGCCCCGCGCAGCGAUGCGGGGAACCCACCGCUGUGCCUGGAGCGCUCGGGGCGAGGUGGGAGGCUGUAGGUCUGUCCUCGGGCAGGCUUGCGCCAAACAGCAGCCGAGACUAGACCGAGUAAAAGAGACACUUUGUAGCUGAGGUGCAUCCUUUUUUACCGUUUUUUUUAACUAUUAAAAAAAGCUGUUUGAGUUAGAUUGAAAUUCAUGAUUACAGUAAUUGCACUGUUCACUUUCGUCCUCUUGAUUAACCCCGCUGGAGCCAAGGGCAGAGAUCACCCCUCUGCUGAGCGAGGGCCUUCCCCCGGUACCUCCAAGGUGCCAGUUAGGCCUCGCACUCGGCAGCCGAGCUCCCGUCGCCGUCUGCGAGUGGCGGGGCAGCUUGGCCAGGCCGUGCCUCGCCUAAGGGAGCCCGCCUUUCCUCUCCGGCCGAGGCAGGCACGAAACGGGUAGGGGUCACGGGUGACGAAGACGCGGCAGGACAUCCCUUGGGACGCCUUCGGUCAGAGCCUGCGUGCCCCCAGACGUCACAUUGUUCCAGUCCAUUUCCAAGCACAUGUUGAAUUAAUACCUCAUCGCUUGUCCUGCACCGCUCAGGAGCACGAGACAGAAGUCGAACAGCAGCGGUUGUCCCGACCUGGUUCAGCCACCCCUGUCCAAUGGAGAGCGGCUCUUCUUGGGACUUUCCAUCUUUUGCCUGAUUCAAGCUGAUGCUGUCAAGGAGACCUAAAAGACGUCCUAAGACUAUGCUGCACGCAGAACGCUUAGAAAGUUGCAUUAGGAAAAUCCUAGCCCUGAUGGUCUCUAAUCGCAUGAGACGUCCACGCUGUGCUUCAGGAUCUCCGAGUGCCGCGGCGUGAUGACGCUGGAGCAAAUACGGCUGCAGAGGAGCGAUUGCUGAUGUCGGCAGGCUGAGGAACUCCGCUAAGUCAAAGGAGCUUUGGCCAUCGGAUGUUUUUCCCAGGGUGAGUGCUGUGCUAACGUCACCCCUGAAUCUUCC
Molecule: long non-coding RNA, 1318 nt
Organism: Dromaius novaehollandiae (emu)
Lineage: Eukaryota; Metazoa; Chordata; Aves; Casuariiformes; Dromaiidae
Exons: 4
Source: RefSeq, a predicted model, not a curated record